Molecule: transfer RNA, 72 nt
Filed under: Pectinodesmus pectinatus
Lineage: Eukaryota; Viridiplantae; Chlorophyta; Chlorophyceae; Sphaeropleales; Scenedesmaceae
Description: tRNA-Met
Source: RNAcentral
UAGCAAGAAAGGGAAUUGAACCCCCAACCCUACGAUUAUGAAACGUAUGCUCCACCAUUGAGCUAUCUUGCC